Long non-coding RNA from Canis lupus familiaris (dog), 1669 nucleotides. RefSeq lists it as uncharacterized. Lineage: Eukaryota; Metazoa; Chordata; Mammalia; Carnivora; Canidae. The transcript is spliced from 4 exons. The record is from RefSeq and is a predicted model, not a curated record.
GUUCCUGGUGGAGCUUCGUUGGGGCUGCAAGGGGUCCUAGAAGCAGUGCUGCAACCUGAACCGCGCAAAUUCCCACCCACCGAUGAUCUGCUCAACUAAGACAUCAAAAGGGCUGGGGUUCCUGGCUGGUUCAGUCGGUAGAGCCGCUGGCUCCUGACCUCGGGAUUGAUCCAGUUGAUUUAUUCUGGAACAAAUGUGCUCACUUUUCAACUCAUUGUCACUGAAGGAGAAACACCUCCAGCUCCUUCCCUUGGUGGUUCAAGGACUUGGCCAGCCCAGCACCUCCUUCUGAACAUCGCUGGUCUCCUGGAAGCUCUGGGCACAAUGGAGUUCACCUUGCUCAGUGAGCUGAGCACUUGACUCUCAUUCCCUCACCUAACCCCUCCAGCUCUGACAAGUAAGGACCUCCAUUAGCCCACCGCAGAGAUGAUGAAGCUACCACUUAACCAACCAGCCCAAGGUCACACAGCUGCUUCUAGAAGCUGCCUGUAUUCCUUGGCUGGUGACCUCACCCACCAUCUCUAAAGCCUGCAGCAACGCCCACAAUGCAGCAUCUUCGAAGAAUCUCUCUCAGGCCUCUGCUUUUCUUGUCCUAUCUCCUAUGACCAACUCUCCUGCCUCCCCCUUGAAGGAGCCUUGUGAUUACCUUGGCCUCACCUGGAUAGCCCAAGAUGAUCUCCCCAGCUGCAGCUCCUUCACUCCUCACAUCUGUGGAGUCUCUUGUCCAUGUCAGUGGACAUAUUCAUAGGUUCUAGGGGUUAGGACAUGGACAUUUUAGGAUGGUAGGGAACAUUAUUCUGCCUCCCACAGCCAGAAAUCGGAGGACCCAUCCAAGGUCUAAGAGGGUUGAGUGAAGGCCAGAAGGAGGCUGCAGGCCUCUGAGUGCUGUGUCCUUUGGAGCAGCACCUCAAAAUAGAAGAAAGGAGUCCUCCCCACAAAUUGAAGCUGGUUUUAAAACACCUUGCAGAGUGGUCAGCAGCAUCCGUUCUGCUUUCCAUCUCAACUCCACCACCUGCCUCUUGGGUGACCUUGGGCCUGUCGUGUAACAUCUCUGGACCUCGGUUUUCUGAUCUGUUAAGUGGGGGUGAAGAUAAAGAGCCACAGGGCCUGAUUUGAGGGUGCUCUGAGCCUGUGUUGUGGCUGCGCCGUUAGGGCCGUGUCAAGUGAUCUUAGCCACCUCCCCUGCCCCCACCAAACACACCCCAGGUGGAAAUGAAGGAAGUAAGUGCCCUGAGAAGGAAGGGACACACUCUUGCACCCGGCAGGGCUGGGAGCCAGACAGCGUCCUUGACCCUCAGAGCCCUUCCCUUGCCCCUCCUCAGAGCUGCUUUCCUGGAAACUCCCCAGGGAAUGAAGCUUUUGAUACCUAAGUAGGUCAUAGAAAGGGAACAAAGGGAUGCUUUUUGCCUGCAAGGCCGCCUGCUGGGGCAGGCUAGAAGCCCUGGUUAAUAAGGAGUUGAGUGGUGCGUGACUGCAGACACGCAGGCGGGAGGCCCGUGCGGGGACAGGACCCACUGAGAGGCAACAGAGAUGUGUCAGUGUCCCCGCGGCUUGAAGGGAGGGGCAACAUCAGAGGUGCUGCCGAGGUCUCUCCAAACAGGAGGUCAAGGUGGGGUGAAGAGAGGUGCCCCGGGGACCCGCAAGGCUUCCAGGGCAGGAGCGUGAGGUG